AACGAACGCCGGCGGCAUGCCUAACACAUGCAAGUCGAACGAGACCUUCGGGUCUAGUGGCGCACGGGUGCGUAACGCGUGGGAACCUGCCCUUAGGUUCGGAAUAACUCCCCGAAAGGGGUGCUAAUACCGGUUAAUGUCUUCGGGCCAAGGAUUUAUCGCGUUUGGAUGGGCCCGCGUUGGAUUAGCUAGUUGGUAGGGUAAAAGCCUACCAAGGCGACGAUCCAUAGCUGGUCUGAGAGGAUGAUCAGCCACACUGGGACUGAGACACGGCCCAGACUCCUACGGGAGGCAGCAGUGGGGAAUAUUGGACACUGGGCGAAAGCCUGAUCCAGCAAUGCCGCGUGAGUGAUGAAGGCCUUAGGGUUGUAAAGCCCUUUUACCCGGGAUGAUAAUGACAGUACCGGGAGAAUAAGCUCCGGCUAACUCCGUG
Molecule: ribosomal RNA, 433 nt
Filed under: uncultured bacterium
Lineage: Bacteria
Description: partial 16S ribosomal RNA
Rfam family: Bacterial small subunit ribosomal RNA
Source: RNAcentral